CGCGGGGUGGAGCAGUCAGGUAGCUCGUUGGGCUCAUAACCCAGAGGCCGUCGGUUCGAAUCCGACCCCCGCUACCA
RNAcentral lists this transfer RNA (77 nucleotides) under Candidatus Schekmanbacteria bacterium RBG_13_48_7. RNAcentral describes it as "tRNA-Met". It matches the Rfam family "tRNA". Rfam says of the family: Transfer RNA (tRNA) molecules are approximately 80 nucleotides in length. Their secondary structure includes four short double-helical elements and three loops (D, anti-codon, and T loops). The record is from RNAcentral. Lineage: Bacteria; Candidatus Schekmaniibacteriota.